This 242-nucleotide ribosomal RNA is filed under the name Photobacterium damselae. RNAcentral describes it as "partial 16S ribosomal RNA". It matches the Rfam family "Bacterial small subunit ribosomal RNA", at positions 1301 to 1533 of the family's 1533-position model. Lineage: Bacteria; Pseudomonadati; Pseudomonadota; Gammaproteobacteria; Vibrionales; Vibrionaceae. The record is from RNAcentral.
GAGUCUGCAACUCGACUCCGUGAAGUCGGAAUCGCUAGUAAUCGUGGAUCAGAAUGCCACGGUGAAUACGUUCCCGGGCCUUGUACACACCGCCCGUCACACCAUGGGAGUGGGCUGCACCAGAAGUAGAUAGCUUAACCUUCGGGAGGGCGUUUACCACGGUGUGGUUCAUGACUGGGGUGAAGUCGUAACAAGGUAGCCCUAGGGGAACCUGGGGCUGGAUCACCUCCUUACAAAAAAGA